Stomoxys calcitrans (stable fly) is the source of this 1004-nucleotide long non-coding RNA. RefSeq lists it as uncharacterized. The record is from RefSeq and is a predicted model, not a curated record. The transcript is spliced from 3 exons. Lineage: Eukaryota; Metazoa; Arthropoda; Insecta; Diptera; Muscidae.
UUGCAUGCGUCCGGUUGACCUGUGAGUCAUUAUAUAUAUACAAAUGAACACUCAACAUUACCAUUUUGUGAAUGAUAACACACUAUUGUGAAUCACAGCAAUCUCAAGCCAGCUGUUACAAUACGUGAUCUCUAUUUUUUCUUAUAUGUUUUCUAUAUUUCUUUAUGCCAGUUGGUGAAAACAAUAAAAAUCAAAAGGUUUUGAAUUAGGGCGUUAAUUUUUCAGCUGGGAUAGAUUAAAAUGUUUAAUGAUGAGAGCUGAGAGUCUGAUAUUAGCUCUGUUCGGGAACUCAAAAAUUUGUGCAAACUUGCACAAAUUUUUAAUGGAAGUCGUUCGCGUACUUUCUUUGCCAGCAGAAGAGAGCGCGAGAGAGAGCAAAUUUGACAGUACCUGCAAUUUUUUACUGGAACUUUUUAUGCCAGCAGAAAUUUGCAACUUUGAACAGAUGUUUUGUAAAGGUCAGCUGUUUUAUGAAAAGCAGCCGUUACACCAAAAUGGAUCAAAAAGGCAGAGGUUCAUGGCAGCAGCUAAUGUUUAGGAGAAGAAAACUCGACAAAUUUUACCUCAAGUCGGUUGUUCGACAUUAGAAGACACCAAGAAAAGAGCCAUUAUCGGUUUCCUAGGUAUUUUGAUGGAAUCAUCUUCAUCGGAGAUCUACGAUGAAACCAACACCGUUCCUUUGAUAUUGUUAAGGAGGGAAAAAACUGCCAUGGGAUUGAGUGGGUCUGGCUGGGCAGUUGAACAAGUGACGCACAGUGGGUUUGGAAAAAUUAGUGCAAAUUAAUCAGCCAAUUGUGAACGGAUACAGAUAGCUUGAUAACACAAUGUCCGUAGCCGCCACAUGAGCAAACAGAAAGCUCCCUUAGCCUCACAUCAGUGGUCGUAGCAAUGGAAAUUGUCCAACGAGAGGAGCGGGAGAAGUAGUCCCUCAUGCGUCUUGGCUACUGAUGAGAGAAGGGAGAUCGUACGAUCUAUAUCCGUAUCGCCAGCAUUUUUGAUUUAAC